RNAcentral lists this long non-coding RNA (250 nucleotides) under Elaeis guineensis (African oil palm). RNAcentral's name for it is "long non-coding RNA (EGUI_LNC054409)". The record is from RNAcentral. Lineage: Eukaryota; Viridiplantae; Streptophyta; Magnoliopsida; Arecales; Arecaceae.
GUGGACUUUCUGUAGAGGUCAGACAACUUUGUGUGGCUUUGAGCAACCUGAAGGAGAGCCUUUCCAAGCAUUGGACUAGCAAAAAUCAAGAUUCUUUCAAUUUGGUAAUAGUUUCUAAGCUUUCUUGAUCAUUUUGUUAGAUCUAAUAGUUAGAUCUAGAAUUGCAACAUCGAUCAGAUCGAUGUAAGUUUUUAUUUUCAGAUCUAAAGUGUAUCUUAGUUUAUAUUAUUUAUUUUGGUAUGAUAGUCUA